GAUGAAGAACGCAGCGAAAUGCGAUAAGUAAUGUGAAUUGCAGAAUUCAGUGAAUCAUCGAAUCUUUGAACGCACAUUGCGCCCCCCAGUAUUCUGGCGGGCAUGCCUGUUCGAGCGUCAUUUCAACCAUCAAGCCCUGCUUGUGUUGGGGUCCUGCGGCUGCCCGCAGGCCCUGAAAACCAGUGGCGGGCUCGCUAGUCACACCGAGCGCAGUAGCACAUCUCGCUCAGGGCGUGCGGCGGGCUCCAGCCGUUAAAGCACCCACCUUUCGCAAGGUUGACCUCGGAUCAGGUAGGAAUACCCGCUGAACUUAAGCAUAUCAAUAAGCGGGGA
Molecule: unclassified non-coding RNA, 333 nt
Filed under: soil metagenome
Description: partial contains 5.8S ribosomal RNA, internal transcribed spacer 2, and large subunit ribosomal RNA
Rfam family: 5.8S ribosomal RNA (bases 1-120)
Source: RNAcentral